AACGCACAUUGCGCCCGCCAGUAUCCUGGCGGGCAUGCCUGUUCGAGCGUCAUUUCAACCCUCAAGCCCCUGCGGCUUGGUGUUGGAGGCCUGCGCACCGCAGCCUCCCAAAGACAGCGGCGGACGUGCACUGGCACCGAACGUAGUAGACUAUCUCUCGUUCGCGGUCCAGGGCGCGCUUCCUGCCGGUAAACCCCCAUCUUUUACAUGGUUGACCUCGGAUCAGGUAGGAAUACCCGCUGAACUUAA
RNAcentral lists this unclassified non-coding RNA (249 nucleotides) under uncultured Sordariomycetes. RNAcentral describes it as "sequence contains 5.8S rRNA gene, ITS2, 28S rRNA gene". The stretch from base 1 to 52 matches the Rfam family "5.8S ribosomal RNA", at positions 103 to 154 of the family's 154-position model. The record is from RNAcentral. Lineage: Eukaryota; Fungi; Ascomycota; Sordariomycetes.